UUUGUGUUUUCAGCAGCACUGAAAGCGUUGACUGUCAAGAGAAUCUGAAUAAUUUAAUCUGGUUUUUACCUGAGUUAGGCACUUGGAUUAUUCUUGUGAGAACAUGAUGAGCGCUCAGCUCGAUUCAGAGACAAACAGCUACUGUCCUGCCACCAUGCUUGGCAGUGAGGACAGUGAAGAAGAAACCAGCCAAGAGGAGCCGCCAGUCACAAACUGGAACGAGCUGUCCAUCAUAGAGCGUGU
This is a long non-coding RNA of Larimichthys crocea (large yellow croaker), 243 nucleotides long. RefSeq lists it as uncharacterized. Lineage: Eukaryota; Metazoa; Chordata; Actinopteri; Sciaenidae. The transcript has 3 exons. The record is from RefSeq and is a predicted model, not a curated record.